CUUGUUAGUUUCUGAAGUAUGGCCUGCCCGCUGACGUAUUUUGAGUUGAAGGGCCGCGGUAUAUUGACCGUGCAAAGGUAGCAUAGUCAUUAGUUCUUUAAUUGUGAUCUGGUAUGAAUGGCUUGACGAGACAUGGGCUGUCUUGGGUGUAGAAUUUGUUGUUGAAUUUUGAGUUUAAGUUAAAAUUCUUAGAUGUUUUUAUGGGACGAGAAGACCCUAUAGAGUUUAACAUUUUAUUGCGUAUUUCUUGU
This 251-nucleotide ribosomal RNA is filed under the name Odontotermes feae. RNAcentral's name for it is "partial large subunit ribosomal RNA". The record is from RNAcentral. Lineage: Eukaryota; Metazoa; Arthropoda; Insecta; Blattodea; Termitidae.